Rhinichthys klamathensis goyatoka is the source of this 211-nucleotide long non-coding RNA. RefSeq lists it as uncharacterized. The record is from RefSeq and is a predicted model, not a curated record. NCBI's taxonomy places the organism in Eukaryota, Metazoa, Chordata, Actinopteri, Cypriniformes, Leuciscidae. The transcript has 3 exons.
ACCUCCAGCCAUUUCCGGGUUGUCAGUCCGUGGACGUGCAUGAUAAUUGUGUGAUGAGACACAGAAAAGAUAAUGCGCCUUUAACUGUGUGCUGACAUGUAGCAACUAAAGGAGGUUUUCGCCGGUAAGCCAUGGAUCUGAGCAUGAAGUCCUACGGUGACCCAGAUGAGGUGUGUGUGUUUCCAUCAGCUGGCUGUAGCACUGAAGAACA